Molecule: small RNA, 610 nt
Filed under: Pan troglodytes (chimpanzee)
Lineage: Eukaryota; Metazoa; Chordata; Mammalia; Primates; Hominidae
Description: retained intron
Source: RNAcentral
AAAUGGCUGGGAGGGGGAUGGGGAUGUUGAAUUUGGAAAUUGGAGGGGACGCUGGUGGACGGAUUGGGUGCAAGGAGUUGGUGUUGAUGGAGGAGCAGGACGCCAGAGUCCCAGCCCUGGAACCGUUCAGAGUGGAGCAGGCACCACCUGUAAUCUACUAUGUCCCUGACUUCAUCUCCAAAGAAGAGGAGGAGUAUUUGCUUCGACAGGUUUUUAAUGCCCCAAAGCCAAAGUGGACCCAGCUCUCUGGGAGAAAGUUACAGAACUGGGGGGAGCCCUCAGGACACCAUUGCCUUCCCCAGGUGGGCUUCCUCAUCCCCGAGGGAUGGUUCCUGAGCGGCUGCCCCCAUGGCUGCAGCGCUACGUGGACAAAGUGUCAAACCUCAGCCUCUUUGGAGGUCUCCCAGCUAACCAUGUCCUCGUGAACCAGUAUCUGCCUGGGGAGGGCAUCAUGGUAACCACACACCCUUGGCCUGUGUCCCCCCACUCAGACUUCUGAGCUGUGCUGGGGCAGGGGACUCUGUACCCACCCUCACUCAUUAGGCAGCCACAUCUCCCAAACAGGCAUUCACCUCCCUGUCCCUGGCUUGGGAAGCCCCCCUUUGACCCA